UACACUCCUACGGGAGGCAGCAGUGGGGAAUUUUGGACAAUGGGCGAAAGCCUGAUCCAGCAAUGCCGCGUGAGUGAAGAAGGCCUUCGGGUUGUAAAGCUCUUUUGUCAGGGAAGAAACGGUGAAAGCUAAUAUCUUUUGCUAAUGACGGUACCUGAAGAAUAAGCACCGGCUAACUACGUGCCAGCAGCCGCGGUAAUACGUAGGGUGCAAGCGUUAAUCGGAAUUACUGGGCGUAAAGCGUGCGCAGGCGGUUUUGUAAGUCUGAUGUGAAAUCCCCGGGCUCAACCUGGGAAUUGCAUUGGAGACUGCAAGGCUAGAAUCUGGCAGAGGGGGGUAGAAUUCCACGUGUAGCAGUGAAAUGCGUAGAUAUGUGGAGGAACACCGAUGGCGAAGGCAGCCCCCUGGGUCAAGAUUGACGCUCAUGCACGAAAGCGUGGGGAGCAAACAGGAUUAGAUACCCCAGUAGUCCCAUG
This 476-nucleotide ribosomal RNA is filed under the name uncultured organism. Its description in RNAcentral is "partial 16S ribosomal RNA". It matches the Rfam family "Bacterial small subunit ribosomal RNA", at positions 332 to 799 of the family's 1533-position model. The record is from RNAcentral.